Long non-coding RNA from Symphalangus syndactylus (siamang), 1230 nucleotides. RefSeq lists it as uncharacterized. NCBI's taxonomy places the organism in Eukaryota, Metazoa, Chordata, Mammalia, Primates, Hylobatidae. The record is from RefSeq and is a predicted model, not a curated record.
GGACUGCAGAUCAGAGAAGUGUUAGGGGACAAGUUUAUUUAAGAUCUUGUUUGCCAUGACAGGAUAUUGGCUUUUAUUUUAAUCUGCAAAAUCAUUGGAAAGUUUUAAGCAGACAAAAAACAUUAAUUGUCUUAUGCUUUUAAGGCUUACCCUGGUUGCUCAGUGAAGAAUAAACUACAGGGAACAUGAGAGAAUACAUGGGAGAGCAGUUAAGAUGCUACUUCAGUAAUCCAUGACAAUGACAACAUAAAGUAACGCAAGGCCAAAUGCUCCACAAAUAAAUGUGUUGAAUGAAUGAACAAAUGAAUAAGUGAAGUCAGUGGAACAUCAAACUGCAUAAAAAUAUAUUUAUUCAGAAAUGAGAGGUGAUGAUUGCCAACAUAUCAUAAUCAGACUCUGUUGUGACCUUGGUUACUUAUGAGUUUGACAACGAAGAGGAAAGAGGACUAGAAAUAUUAUAGAUGCCAGAUUCACAAAAGAAGAUAUAUGAUAGAAGCUGGAAUUGUUUGAAUAAAAAGAGUCAAAUUUUACAUUGGAUUAACCAGAGGGAAGAAAGUAGAUAGAUAGGAAAGAAGAAGGCAGGCUUAGCCAAGCCAAAGAAAGAGACUAGACUCAGGAGGCAUUGGGUGAAAAAGGAACUCUGUCAAAGAAGAGUACCAUUAUAGUUUCAAGAGAGCUGAGAGGUUGUUAAGCCUCCUUGUCAUUCUUAAUCCAAAAACACCCGAUCCUAAACACUAUAAUCCUGAAUGUUGAAAUCCUGAAACAUCAAAAUCCCUAAAGUCCAAAAUCCUUAUCAUCUAAAAUCCAGAAAAUCACUAUCACAGGACAGUUGCACCAUGGUAUUGCAUCAUGUUAAAUGUAAUUAUUUCCUUGUUUACUCUUUAUUUGGAAAUUAAGCAUGGCUAAGAAGGUAUGUAUAGGUGCCAAGUCAACAAGGGGUGGACCCGUGGACUUAAUUUUAGGUGUCAACUUGGCUGGGUUAAGGAAUGUCUGGAAACUUGGUAAAGCAUUAUUUUGGGUAUGCCUCGAGGGUGUUCUCAGAAAAGAUUAAUGUGUAGGUCUGAGUGGACUAGGUGGGAAAGAUCUGUCAAUGUCUGGAAUAUAGAAAAAGUGAAAAUGAAGGUAAAAAAUGCACAGAAUCUUUCCUGCCAAACUAUUAUUGAUGUACAACUUCUGCCACUUGCCUUCACAAAAUGCCCUUUGUCAGAGAAUGAAAAGAGUUCAACAAGC